UGUCGAAACCUGCCUAGCAGAACGACCCGCGAACUCGUAUUCAAAACUCGGGUGGCGCAUGCUUGUGCUUCGGUACUCGCCUGUUGCCCCCUUUGCUGGUGGUGCAUCCAUGGCYUCGGCGAUGCUUGCGCUUCCCGGCACCUAAACGAACCCCGGCGCGGUAUGCGCCAAGGAAUUGUAACAUAGACAGCUUGUCCGGAAGCCCCGUUCGCGGGUGCGGAAGGGCAUUGCCAUCUUACACAAAACUAAACGACUCUCGGCAACGGAUAUCUCGGCUCUCGCAUCGAUGAAGAACGUAGCGAAAUGCGAUACUUGGUGUGAAUUGCAGAAUCCCGUGAACCAUCGAGUUUUUGAACGCAAGUUGCGCCCGAAGCCAUUAGGCYGAGGGCACGUCUGCCUGGGCGUCUCACAUCGCGUCGCCCCCAUCCCUUUCCCUUUGGGAAUCACGGGCUUGGGAGCGGAGACUGGUCUCCCGUGCACUUGUUGUGCGGUUGGCCUAAAUAAGAGUCGACGUGUGCGUGCGUCACAACAAUUGGUGGUUGUUAAAAACCUUUGCUGUUGUGCGUUGUCGUCCUCGUCCGACUCCAUUGACCCUGUUGCAUUGCGUAAGUGAUGCCUCGACCGCGACCCCA
Molecule: ribosomal RNA, 632 nt
Filed under: Linanthus californicus
Lineage: Eukaryota; Viridiplantae; Streptophyta; Magnoliopsida; Ericales; Polemoniaceae
Description: eukaryotic LSU rRNA
Source: RNAcentral